RNAcentral lists this ribosomal RNA (400 nucleotides) under uncultured bacterium. Its description in RNAcentral is "bacterial SSU rRNA". It matches the Rfam family "Bacterial small subunit ribosomal RNA", at positions 355 to 752 of the family's 1533-position model. The record is from RNAcentral.
UGAGGAAUAUUGGACAAUGGAUGGAAAUCUGAUCCAGCCAUGCCGCGUGCAGGAAGACGGCCCUAUGGGUUGUAAACUGCUUUUAUAUGGGAGCAAUAAGGCCUACGUGUAGGUUGAUGAGAGUACCAUAUGAAUAAGCACCGGCUAACUCCGUGCCAGCAGCCGCGGUAAUACGGAGGGUGCAAGCGUUAUCCGGAUUUAUUGGGUUUAAAGGGUGCGUAGGCGGUUUGAUAAGUCAGCGGUGAAAUAUUUCAGCUUAACUGGAAGGGUGCCGUUGAUACUGUCAGGCUUGAAUUUAGUUGCUGUGGGUGGAAUGUGUGGUGUAGCGGUGAAAUGCAUAGAUAUCACACAGAAUAUCGAUUGCGAAGGCAGCUCACAAAGCUAAAAUUGACGCUGAUGC